GACGAACGCUGGCGGCGUGCUUAACACAUGCAAGUCGAGCGGUAAGGCCCUUUCGGGGGUACGACGAGCGGCGAACGGGUGGAGUAACACGUGGGUGACCUGCCCUCCAGCUCUGGGAUAAGCCUGGGAAACCGGGUCUAAUACUGGAUAUGACUCCAUGACGCAUGUUGUGGGGUGGAAAGUCUUGUGCGGCUGAGGAUGGGCCCGCGGCCUAUCAGCUUGUUGGUGGGGUG
This 233-nucleotide ribosomal RNA is filed under the name uncultured bacterium. RNAcentral describes it as "partial 16S ribosomal RNA". It matches the Rfam family "Bacterial small subunit ribosomal RNA", at positions 28 to 259 of the family's 1533-position model. The record is from RNAcentral.